Molecule: transfer-messenger RNA, 367 nt
Filed under: uncultured Actinomycetes bacterium
Lineage: Bacteria; Bacillati; Actinomycetota; Actinomycetes
Description: uncultured actinobacterium transfer-messenger RNA, SsrA
Rfam family: transfer-messenger RNA
About the family: Bacterial tmRNA, also known as 10Sa RNA or SsrA, is named for its dual tRNA and mRNA-like properties.
Source: RNAcentral
GGGGGUGAACGGUCUCGACUUUGGAUGUUGAGACAGGGGAAGCGGGCCGAGGAAGCCGGAAUGAUCUCGUAAACCAAUAAUCCGUGCAAAAAUAACUGCUGACAACAAUCAGCAAGCUUUCGAACUCGCUGCAUAAGCAUUUCGAAGCCGUUAGCCCAGGUGCCGCUCUCGACCUGGAACCUAGCGUCGCUAGAGGGCUUUUCAAUUCGUUGGUGUUGCAAACAACGAUAGAGAACAGUUUUGCAACUGAGUUCGUCGAAGAGUCGUGUGGAGAAACUUCGGGACUGAGAAAGCGUUAAUCACACUACGCCCGUAGAAGCCCUGUUUUUGCACCGAAGGACCCGGGUUCGAUUCCCGGCACCUCCAC